CUCAAUCCCCUCCCCACACUCCACCCACCUCCGUGUGCCCCUGCCUGGGGGGAGAGACACAAACUUGCACAGCCCGCCUCAGGACACCAAAAGCAUGAAGUGACCGCACCGGACAAGUUUCUGAGUGGAGGUGUGCCCGCUCAGCCAAGAUGACACUCUGCGGGACCUUCCUGGGCUCCGACACUCGCUCUUGAAGGACACCCUACACUCCACUCCAGGCCGGGCCUUCAGGGACCCCAUUUGUCUGGGACCGUAGGUUUAUGGGAUGUGGGGCAGGACAGACCCAGCAGGACUCACAGCCUCAGGACCAGAAUCUUCUGCUGCUGCCAGCUGCCUGCGUGAUGCUGAGAAUCAUCUUUAUUCAUUUAUUUUCAUUGCUAGGG
This is a long non-coding RNA of Bos taurus (domestic cattle), 383 nucleotides long. Lineage: Eukaryota; Metazoa; Chordata; Mammalia; Artiodactyla; Bovidae. The record is from Ensembl.